This 1931-nucleotide long non-coding RNA is filed under the name Macaca fascicularis (crab-eating macaque). Its description in RNAcentral is "lncRNA (ENSMFAG00000064769.1)". The record is from RNAcentral. Lineage: Eukaryota; Metazoa; Chordata; Mammalia; Primates; Cercopithecidae.
UUUUUUUUUUUUUUUUUUUUUUUGAGACGGGGUCUCGCUCUGUCGCCCAGGCUGGAGUGCAGUGGCCAGAUCUCAGCUCACUGCAAGCUCCGCCUCCCGAGUUUACGCCAUUCUCCUGCCUCAGCCUCCGGAGUAGCUGGGACUUCAGGCGCCCACCACCUCGCCCAGCUAGUUUUUUUUUUUUGUAUUUUUUAGUAGAGACGGGGUUUCACCAUGUUAGCCAGGAUGGUCUCGAUCUCCUGACCUCAUGAUCAGCCCGUCUCGGCCUCCCAAAGUGCUGGGAUUACAGGCUUGAGCCACCGCACCCGGCCUGACCUAUAAAUCUUCAAGUGCAUGCAGAUGUUGUUGUAAUCUGGAGAUAAGCAGCAAUCUACUAGCAAUAGCCUUGCAUCACCAUUCAGCUUUCAUUCUCCUAACCAGCACUGUGAGCCCCCAGUGCCAGUGGGAGCCCUGGUGGCCUGGUCUCAGGGUCAGCAGGAAGGGUCUGCUGUGCCACCACCACCACCACUAGAACAUUGCCCCCUUCAAGGAUUUAUUCCUUGGGUUAUGAUUUAAGCCAUAUCAAUUAUAAUACCUUAGGAAUAAUAGGUCCGUUAAUUUUUUUCCUACCCAUUUGACCCUCUGCUAUGAGCAAGGUUAUUUGCUUUGUUUUGCUUUUGUGUUUGGGUAGGGAUGAGAGAGAGACAGAUCAUGAGGAUCUUCGAGUUGGGGCAUUAGAAUAGCACUGUGGGGGAGGGCAGAGGGACUUGUGUGUGUGGGCAGCAGCACACAGACGGGCUGGGACGUAGGCCUGGAGUGAUGAGGGUCAACCAUAGUCUUUCCGACAUUUCCUGGGGGUCAACCUGCUUUUAACACCCUUAAUUCUUUUCCAACUAGUGUCUCACUGCCCUGCCCCAAAAUCAAGGUGAAGCAGAUACAACUCCAGGCCAAAGACACAUCUCCUAAGACUGACCUUCUGGUCCUGGCCACACGCUGACUAGCUGCUUGUGUCGUUGGACGAGUGACUUCCCGUCUUGUAUCAAGGUGGGCUGCAGAGGGAUGGCGUUGGAGGCAGGAGUGAGUGUGGAGCUGUGAGGACCCAGGGAGGAGGGUUUAGAAGUCAAGGAGGAAGCCGCAGGCAUGUGACUCCUGCACUGGCCUCACCUCUCACCAGCUCUGCAAGGCCCGGAGCUGCCAUCCCAAGGCUGCUUUUCCUUUCCUUUCUUUUUUUAAAAUUCUUUAAUUAAACUUUUUUGAUUAAGUGACAGCUUUUACCACUCCUGGCAGCUGCUGUGAGACAAGAUAAUUUAUAGAUGCAUUGACACUAUAUGAUUAGGACAAGUGCAGUAAAUAACAGAUGAGAAGAUGACUCGUGCAACCUGCAGGGCCCCUCCUCCGUCUCUUCAGUCCAGCCCCCACCAUCUCCCGGUGAGUCCCAGGUAGAUGUCUGCUGCAUCACUCAGGGGCUGCGUGGAGCACUCGGUGCCUUUCCCACCACAAGACGAUAAAGAUGCUGGUGUCGACAAAGUGCUGGUGUCCGUGGACCACAGCUCUGCCCUGGGCCCCAGAGACUUUCUCAGAGACUUGUUUCCACCUGGAGGAAAGACUUGAUGAUUCUCACCCUUGAAAGUGUCUACAGAAGUCCUCUAGUCAGAAUGUCCUUGCUGUGUGUCAGGGCACACUGUGGGCUCUGUCCAGCCAGGCAGGGCCUGGACUCAGGAUCCCCUAGGCUGGUCACCUCUGCUUGUGGGUGCUUCAUCCAUCUCCCUGUGGAUGCCAUAAAAGCACUGUCCCUUUCUCUGUGUGCCACACUGUGGAAAAGGUUGAGAAUCACCGCUAGUCCACUCCUGUGUCUGUAGCAAGAAUAGUAAUUAAAGUGCCUCGGGAAGCGCUGGCUGUGUCCUUAGCUCUUCAGCACUGCCUGAACCCCAUGCUCCUCAGGAAUGAGCCCC